UUUGGUAGUUUUUUGUAGGAUU
Molecule: microRNA, 22 nt
Filed under: Echinococcus granulosus
Lineage: Eukaryota; Metazoa; Platyhelminthes; Cestoda; Cyclophyllidea; Taeniidae
Description: egr-miR-10262-3p
Source: miRBase by way of RNAcentral